CCCUUAGCUGUUCUGGGCCGCACGCGUGCUACACUGAGUGGAUCAGCGGGUCAGGUUACGCGAGAGCGUUUCCUAAUCUUCAAAUCCGCUCGUGAUGGGGAUUGACGGUUGCAAUUUUCCGUCAUGAACGAGGAAUACCUUGUAAGCGCGGGUCAUCAUCCCGCGCUGAAUACGUCCCUGCCCUUUGUACACACCGCCCGUCGCUCCUACCGAUUGAGUGGUCCGGUGAGGCUUUGGGAUCUAAGCGAAAAGAGCGUUUCGCUCCUUUUGCUGGGAGAACUCAGUCGAACCUUAUCAUUUAGAGGAAGGAGAAGUCGUAACA
Molecule: ribosomal RNA, 322 nt
Filed under: uncultured eukaryote
Lineage: Eukaryota
Description: partial 18S ribosomal RNA
Rfam family: Eukaryotic small subunit ribosomal RNA
Source: RNAcentral